Molecule: long non-coding RNA, 471 nt
Organism: Rattus rattus (black rat)
Lineage: Eukaryota; Metazoa; Chordata; Mammalia; Rodentia; Muridae
Exons: 3
Source: RefSeq, a predicted model, not a curated record
UGUGCUCUUCGCCUCGGAUCAGCUGAAUGGUUGGGGCGUUCAGGAAGCUUGCUCUGUCCAGCUGGGAAUCGCUCCCCCUCUCCAGGAUUUAAGAAGAUAAGAAACACAUCUUUGGAUGAAAUCUAUAGAUGGAAGAAGGCCUAACUCAAAAAGAGAAAAUGGAUGUUGUCAUGCCACUGAAGCCAGCAGCAAUGCAAACUGAUCACCAAGAAUUUCACUAAUUGAACAGUCAAGAAGAAUAGCUUUGAACAGCAUUUCACUUUGAGCAAAGGCAAUCACUCUUCUUAUCUCUGUAGGAAUGUGUGCAUAUUUUCCUUUUCACAAUAAUCAAAUAGGUUCAGAAAAGUAAAGUGAUUAUCGCACAACAUCUCAGAAUCAGGUUUUGGUAAAUCCCAUUCCCCAGAUCUUCUUGAAUUUAAUUUUAUUUCUGAUAAAAGUCAUUUGUUAAGAAACAGAAAAGUAUUAAAAGGG